UGGGGUAUAGCACAGCAGUAGACUGCGUGCCUAGCAUGCACGAGGCCCUGGGUUCAAUUCCCAGUACCUCCA
Molecule: transfer RNA, 72 nt
Filed under: Camelus bactrianus (Bactrian camel)
Lineage: Eukaryota; Metazoa; Chordata; Mammalia; Artiodactyla; Camelidae
Also listed under: 1 other name
Rfam family: tRNA
About the family: Transfer RNA (tRNA) molecules are approximately 80 nucleotides in length. Their secondary structure includes four short double-helical elements and three loops (D, anti-codon, and T loops).
Source: Rfam by way of RNAcentral